Molecule: long non-coding RNA, 344 nt
Filed under: Marmota monax (woodchuck)
Lineage: Eukaryota; Metazoa; Chordata; Mammalia; Rodentia; Sciuridae
Source: RNAcentral
UAUACUUCAGCAUUUGGGGAAGCAAGGACCUGUCACAGUAAACACAGGUAACACCGUAGAUCCUGACCUGAACCUUGGGAUCCUCCUGCCUCAGACUCCCCAAGUACCUUCUUUUGUUAAUAGUUCUUUGUUUCUGUGGUGGAGUUAACACGCAGGGCAUCACCCAUGCUGGGAAAGCAGUCUUCCGAAGCCAUAGGUCAAUCCCAUCCUUACCAAGUUCCAAGCAAAGGCUUCUAAGUUGGAUAUUUUUUCCAGCCGAGCAAAGACACUCCACCUGAAAAGGGCUGGGACCAAGGAUCUGUCACUCUAGGGAAUUUUAGGUAGUGAUUGCAUAACCUUAGCUG